UACGGAGGGUGCAAGCGUUAUCCGGAUUCACUGGGUUUAAAGGGUGCGUAGGUGGGUUUGUAAGUCAGUGGUGAAAUCUCCAAGCUUAACUUGGAAACUGCCGUUGAUACUAUAAAUCUUGAAUGUUGUGGAGGUGAGCGGAAUAUGUCAUGUAGCGGUGAAAUGCUUAGAUAUGACAUAGAACACCAAUUGCGAAGGCAGCUCACUAGACAAAGAUUGACACUGAGGCACGAAAGCGUGGGGAGCAAACAGG
RNAcentral lists this ribosomal RNA (253 nucleotides) under uncultured bacterium. RNAcentral's name for it is "partial 16S ribosomal RNA". It matches the Rfam family "Bacterial small subunit ribosomal RNA", at positions 524 to 776 of the family's 1533-position model. The record is from RNAcentral.